CCCUACAAAGUAUAUAUAUAUAUUCUGGAUCAGCAUAAAAUUCUAAGACAAUCUAGCGAUGUCCGUCUUUCUGUCUGCUGUAAUUUUGCAUACAUGCAUAGUUUAGCAGUAGGCAGGUUAAGUUUGUAAAUAGGCCAUGUCGGUCCACGUUUUCGUAUAGCCCCCAUAAAACGGUGCCUCUCGAUAUUCGGCAUUUUCAUGAUUUUAGCGACAGUAUUUAUCGAAAUUGUUUCAAAUUUGGUAUUUGGAGUUCGUAAUGGGUACUACAGCCCAUGGCUCAAUAAGAAAGGAUGCUCAACUUCAAAGGAACUGAGAAAAUGCAACUCAGUGCUAGUGUCUCAUAAUGUCAAAUAGACUUUUAAAUAUGCAACAGUCGGUUUUGUUAAUUUUUUAACUAAAUUCUUAUACUGAGAAAAAAUCGCGCAACUAAAAUGGAAUUUUGGAGUUAUCAACAAGAUUGAAUCUAAAAUGGUAGGACAAUACAGUUUUAUCCCAAAAUUGUAUGUAUAUAAAAGAUUUAAUAUACAUUUAUUUUGCAACCGAAAUUGAAAUAAUUACAAAUUAUUGUAUUUUUUAUUCAAAACAACACACAUGGUACAAUAAGUAAGGUAGAGCUCCCAGCUGAUUACAAUUUUUUCUAAGUGUGCCCGACUUCUGCCAAUUUUGUGUAUGUAUUUGUUGUUUUGAAAAAUACAAACAAAAUAUUUUCAAAAUCAAUGAUUGGAAGAAACCUAAAUUGCGGGGCGCGCAUUGAUAAUAUUAACCAGAUUUUCCAUGGAAUUGAAGGAUUGAACACAUAGGAUCAUAUUUUUGAGAGAACAUCCAGAUAUUUCAUUCAUCUUUCGCGCUAUUUUAGAAAUUACCAAAAAAAAAAUCUAAUAAAUAAAAACAACUUGUUGGAUAUAAUUUUGAAUAAUUCUGACAGGAUGCGGGCAUAGCCUCAGAGCUGUAUUUCUGUAAUUUUACGAAGCUGUUCUACCUCCUUAUUGUACCAUGACAACACAUACACAUACACAAAAGGUGUAUAUGUUUUGACAGAAUAAAGGUGCAAGUACAUAAAAAGUUUGAAGUCAUGCCUAGGCACAUUAAUGUCAAAUUAUAAUGGAAAAUAACGGCAGGAUUUUAGUGCGUCUCUUUUAUCCCUUUAUGAAAAGUCACAAUAUAUGCCUAGCCAUGACUUCAAGCUUCUUUUUUAAUUACAGCUUAAGGACACUAAAAGAAAAAAUUGUAUUUAGGGUGUAGUUUUGUUCUAGCUUCUGUAAUUGUUCCAUGCUUCAGUCUAUGACAAAAAAUAUCGUAAGCAGUUCCUUGUCUCCCUAUAACAGUUCUCGUUUAAGUAGUAGUUUCCGGAAGUUUUUUUUAAAUAUUUCAAAUGGUAUUCAAAAUUCAGCCCGGCCGAACUUUUAUGCUUCUUUACUUGCAUUUGUAUACGUUUUGCAUCAUCUCUUGGUGGUGCAUUUAUAUCUUCCUUUAUAUGAAGUUCACAUGGUACAUGAUUCGCUCUCUAUUCCUCGUUCGACACUUAACUAUGAACGAAUCACUUGAUUCUUGAAGAUUAGAAUUCAAAUAAUUGCUCCCGGGAAAAAGCCAACAAUAAGGAGGAAUAAAACAUUGUUCAUAUAUCUGCUUUUGAAGAAAUGCGAGUAUUUUCUUCUCAAAAUGGAAAGAAAAAAGGAAUUAAUAAAAAAACUAGUGAUAAGCCGUCGAAAACUUGCAAAUGUGACAUUGUUUGGGCAUCCAGCUCCAAUAUUAGGACGUUGACUUGGGAUUCAAUGUAUCACUUGCCUCGGAAAGAUUGUGCUGGCGAAAGGAACGAUCUCAAUAUUUUUGGGAAGUUGAUUGCCAAAAAGGUGAUGACUCCUUUUUUAAAAACAAUUUCCGAAUGACUCGAAUGGUGUUCAAACAACUAUGCCUGUUACUACAUGGCCUGCGCAAAUGUGACACGAACAUGCGGGCAGCUAUACCACUAGAAAAAAGGGUUGCAAUAGGACUAUAUGCCUUAGGUUCCUCGGCAGAAUAUAGAACAAUUGGAAACAUGUUUGGCAUUGGAAAAAGCACAGUCUGCUCAAUUCUUUUAGAAUUUUGAAAGUUUUAGCUCCAAUGUACUUAAAAAAAUUCCCAUUAACAAAGAAUAAAAUAGAAAACCUAUGACAAGAACUUGAAGCCUUGGGAUUUCCUCAAUGUAUUGGUGCUAUCGAUGGCUGUCAUAUAGAGGUUCAUCCCCCAAAAGAAGACGCUACUGAUUAUUAUAACCUUAAAGGGUGGUACUCAGUUGUACUACGAAGUAAAACACAUUUUUAACUUUUGUUAUAAACCUUAAUAGUCUUUAAGGUGUCGUUUCAUUUAUGUCAAUUGUGGAAGUCCUGGGCGCUGAAAUGAUUCCCAAAUUUUUGAAGGGUCUUGUCUGAAGAAAGAGUUGGAAGAAUGCAAACUAUUGACGGACAUGAAAAGAAAUAUAUCGAAUGUAGAUGUUCCCCUUUUUCUAAUUGGAGAUUCUGCAUUUAAAUUGAGUGAUAAACUGAUGAAGCCAUAUCCAUUCCAACUAUGCCAAAACCGGGAACAGAAAUGUUUUAAUUAUGCCCUAUUGAAAUCCCGCAGGUUUGUGGAAAAUGCUUUUGGGCAUCUUAAAGGCCGUUUUAGAAGAAUCGGAAAGGGAAUUGAUAACGCAUUAAAACAUACUAAUUUAAUUAUAUUAUCUUCCUGCGCUCUCCAUAAUUUUUUGAGUGAUCAUAAUGACGUAGUUAACGGCAAGUGGUUGGAAAUUUUGCAGGCGUCUGAAAAAUAUCGUUCGUACCCAGACGAAAUCAUGCCCUUGUCAGAUCAAAGCACUGGUCGUCAUGCAGAAGAAAUAAGAACGGCACUUUCAAUUUACUUCGCACAAAGCUCGUGUUAUGAUAAUACCGAGGAGGACAUAUAAUAUUUCUAUGGAGAACCGCAAUGAAUGUGGCAGCAAGAUAUUCACGCAAUUUGAAAAUUUUUAGAUUAGAACACGAAUCUAAGAACAUGUCCGGAAUAAACGUAAACAUAUUUUCAAAUUUUGUGAUGCAUCCAUAAUAUGAAAAAACAAUAACAAUGGAGUAAAGAUUGAUAAUUUUCAAAGUACAAAUUGAACAACGUAAUAAUUUUUAUGCUU
Molecule: long non-coding RNA, 3133 nt
Organism: Musca domestica (house fly)
Lineage: Eukaryota; Metazoa; Arthropoda; Insecta; Diptera; Muscidae
Exons: 5
Source: RefSeq, a predicted model, not a curated record